This 361-nucleotide ribosomal RNA is filed under the name uncultured soil bacterium. Its description in RNAcentral is "bacterial SSU rRNA". It matches the Rfam family "Bacterial small subunit ribosomal RNA", at positions 26 to 409 of the family's 1533-position model. The record is from RNAcentral.
AGAACGAACGCUGGCGGCAUGCCUAAUACAUGCAAGUCGAACGAACUCUUCGGAGUUAGUGGCGCACGGGUGCGUAACGCGUGGGAAUCUGCCCCUUGGUUCGGAAUAACAGUUGGGAACGACUGCUAAUACCGGAUGAUGACGAAAGUCCAAAGAUUUAUCGCCAAGGGAUGAGCCCGCGUAGAUUAGCUAGUUGGUGAGGUAAGCUCACAGGCAGCGAUCCUUAGCUGGUCUGAGAGGAUGAUCAGCCACACUGGGACUGAGACACGGCCCAGACUCCGUACGGGAGGCGAGCAGGUAGGGAAUAUUAGGACAAGUGGGACGAAAGCCUAGAUCCAGACAAGUCGCCGCGGUGAGUGAA